Molecule: ribosomal RNA, 486 nt
Filed under: uncultured bacterium
Lineage: Bacteria
Description: bacterial SSU rRNA
Rfam family: Bacterial small subunit ribosomal RNA
Source: RNAcentral
AGGGUUCGAUUCUGGCUCAGGAUUAACGCUGGCGGCGUGCCUAACACAUGCAAGUCGAACGAAAUACUUUUAGUAUUUAGUGGCGAACGGGUGAGUAAUGUACAGGUAAUGUACCUUCGUACUGCGAAUAACAAGCUGAAAAGUUUGCUAAUACGGAAUAGUUUCCUUCGAGGGCAUCCUUAAAGGAAUAAAGAUUUAUCGUGCGGAGAUCAGCCUGUAUCCUAUUAGUUAGUUGGUGGGGUAAUGGCCUACCAAGACGACGAUGGGUAACUGGUCUGAGAGGAUGAGCAGUCACAUUGGAACUGAGAAACGGUCCAAACUCCUACGGGAGGCAGCAGUGAGGAAUUUUGCGCAAUGGGGGAAACCCUGACGCAGCCAACGCCGCGUGAGUGAUGACGGCCUUCGGGUUGUAAAGCUCUGUCGUGUGUGACGAGUAGGGACGGUAACACACAAGGAGGCCUCGGCUAACUACGUGCCAGCAGCGGC